UUCUGUGCCGGCGAGGAAACACUGCCACCACUCUUCCCUCAGCACGGCGCUGUCUCUCCCUCUCUCUGCGCAGGAGCUCCAGCAGCCCAUCACUCCGUUCCCACAUACGUGCUGCACACAUUUUCCAUCCUUCUUUGGAGAGGUCAUGAAAAGAUGCAGUGCUACACGAUUACCCGCACAUGUGUGCUGCUAUGCGCGACUAUCGCGCUGGCGCUCGCCGUGCUCGGCGUCUUCACCCCCUUUUUUGAGAUGCCGGCCAGCAUCGGGAGGACCGUCAAGCUCUUGAAUGCCAGUGUACAAAGCCCCACCUUCAACAUCGAGACGGAUAAAGUGACGCUGGAGCGUUUCGGCCUGCUGGUUAGUGGGCCGCCCGCCAACAGCAAAAUGACGCUGUGGAAGCUCACGUAUGGCUCAUCGGGGGCCAACGCUUCCAUCAACUUGCGUGACGACUACUUCACCUGCUUCCAGGGCAACAUGCUCAUUCAGGCUGCGGAGGGGAUCGCUGUUGUUACGUGUGUCCUGGGUGCGGCGAACUUCAUCAUGUCGAUGUUUCUCUUCUUGUUUUCUGCCGUCGUCAAGCUCCCCCUGGUCAUAUACUUUUUCUUUGCGGCGGCCGCCGCGGCGGUCACGGUUGGUCUCACCCUCAAUCUCUACCUCCACGGUUGGUGCACGACCCCGGCUCUCAAGACGCAGGAGUGGAACUUGUGGUAUGGCUUUGCCUUCUUCGUCAUCUCGUGCGGCGCCUCCCUCAUUGCUAGCGUCUUGACGGUCUUCUCUGAUUGAGCAGUCGAUCGACACGAACGCUCUUUCUGUGCCCCUCCGCCUGCGCGGGUAUAUGUGCGCGAGUUCAUGUCCCUCUGUGUGUAUAUGCAAGCCGAUUCUCUUCUCGCAGUGGCAGUUUCGUCGGCUCUCCCCGUCUUGGUCGUGAUCCCUCGCCCGUUUUUUCCCACCAUCCUCGUUUGCUUCCAAUCUCAUCCGUCCAUUCUUUGGUUUUGCGCCCUCCUUCGAUGUGAGAGGGCCCGGCUGCGCACACGCACACCGGCAGCGAAGCGGGAGGAUGCUGCUCGACAUGUGCCUCUGUGUGCGUGUGCUUCGAUAUCUGUAGGCUGUGCCUGCCUGGGUCGGCUGUGACGACUUCCCAGUUUAUUUCAUGUAUAAUUUUGUAUUCUAGAGUAUCAUCGCUGUCGCAUUGUGGUUGAGUCCGGCAACGAUCGCCAGUUUAUUCAUCUGUUCUUUUUUCUUCUUCUGCCUCCGUGAAUGGGCACCUCUCCUACUCUCACAUGCCGUGUGGCCGACCAGAGGAACCACCUCUAUCCCUGCUUCUCUCUCUCCGCCGUGAUGUAGCAGCAGCUUAAGACUAAGGUCGGAUCUCCAGUGACUUGUGACUCCGUGUCACUUCGGCUACUAUGCAUACCUGUUCAAGUUCACGUACAUGCACUGCAUGACGUACUUUUAUGUUUUGGAGUGUAUGUGCAUAAGUGUGCCUAUGUGUAUGUUUGAAUGUGUGUAUGCGUGUGUGCAUGUGCGCGCGCGCAUCCCGUCGCGUUGGUUUGUGCCCAG
This 1560-nucleotide unclassified non-coding RNA is filed under the name Leishmania donovani. RNAcentral's name for it is "gene:LdHU3.27.0710(CDS-product:Amastin_surface_gl ycoprotein_putative)". Lineage: Eukaryota; Euglenozoa; Kinetoplastea; Trypanosomatida; Trypanosomatidae. The record is from RNAcentral.